This 619-nucleotide ribosomal RNA is filed under the name Contracaecum osculatum. RNAcentral's name for it is "eukaryotic LSU rRNA". It matches the Rfam family "Eukaryotic large subunit ribosomal RNA", at positions 394 to 830 of the family's 3401-position model. The record is from RNAcentral. Lineage: Eukaryota; Metazoa; Nematoda; Chromadorea; Rhabditida; Anisakidae.
AGAGCGUGAAACCGCUGAGAUGGAAACGGAUAGAGUUGACGGAGCUCUGCUGCAUUCACCCGAUCGGCCUAGCGGUCCAAUGGCUUUGACUUCCUCGAUGAGGGCAAGGCUGCUGGUAACUGUUGGGUAUUUGAUCGGUGUAUUUGCGGCUGGUAUGCGCUGAGGGCUUUGUGAGCGCAUGUCGACGGGCGUGGAGUGGACCAUACCUUUCCGGUGUGGAACCCUUCGCGCUCUUAGGCAUGUCGUUUGUAAAGUUUCAAAAGUGCCGUCUCCGCUAUGGUGCAUCGGUUUUGUCGAGCUGUUGUGGCUUCAGGCUGGUCGCAUGCGACCGUCGGUCGUCGUCAAUGGUCCGUCAAAGCACAGAUGCGCCGAGACGUGCACCUCGGUGUGAACGUUGACCACCUAUCCGACCCGUCUUGAAACACGGACCAAGGAGUUUAGCAUAUGCGCGAGUCAUUGGGUGGAAAACCUAAAGGCGUAAUGAAAGUAAAAGUCGUCUCGAACGGCCGAUAUGGGAUCCGCAUGGCUUCCGAGUUGUGCGGCGCACCAUAGCCCCGUCCCCGUUGCAUGCAAUAGGGCGGAGGUAGAGCGCAUACGCUGAGACCCGAAAGAUGGUGAA